CGUUUGGAUAUAUCCUAGCUGUGUUUGUGACCUCACUCAUGGUCCAGACUUUUUUCAAAUAGGACAUGUAGUUUGUCUGCAGCGAGUGUUUUGGUAGAAACUGCGCCUCCCAUUCAUUAUAAUGGGAAAUGACCACAGACAAGUGCGCACACCAUCUUUGGACCUUGAGUGUGACGCGAUCGGGAGGGGGAGGUGGUCGCGCUGGGGGCGGCGCGACGCGGCUCGGGCCCGACAGUGCCCCACCGGGGCCCUAGUUAUUUUUCCUCCCCUUUGAACUGGAAAAUGGCCCACUUCCCACUGGCGAAAACUCAUGAAAUUUGGCAGGACGACCGGGCCUGGUGAAAAAUUUGAUAUUCCGAAGUCGCCCAAUCAAGAAAAUGCAAAAUGGCUCCAUAGCGCCCCCUAAGGUGAAAAUUCACACUAUUGACUGUCACGCCUGUAUGCUUUGUCAAAAUGACACAAAAAUUGACACACACAUGUAUCUCAAUAAGAUCUACAAAAAAGUCAGUGCGGGCGUAUCUGUCAAAUGUACGGUUAAAGGGUUAUUUCGCAUUUUUUGCCGAUCCGCACACAUUGGAAUUUCGCUAACUCCUCCGAAGGCUUUCGUUCCACCAGCACCACAUUUGCUCAGGCCAAUCUACACCCCAUGGCCAUUAAAAGUUAUUCAAAUCAUGACGCUGCACCCCACGGUUUAGGUUCUAGGGGGCGCCAAAGAUAACACUAAAAUCCACAUAUUUAAAAGUCUUAUAACUUUUUAUUUUUGUCCCCACUGGCCUCCAAGUUUUCUAGGAUGAUGCAAUGUCCAGCCAUCAACACAUUUGUGAAGGAAUUUUUACUCCCCAAAAGAGCGCCCCCCAUGGCAGGAGAAAAAAGUCCAUUUUUUCUUGUCCCCUAAGGUGAAAAUACACAUUGUUGAGUGUCACGCCUAUACGCUUUGUCAAAAUGACACAAAAAUUGACACACACAUGUAACUCAAUAAGAUCUACAAAAAAGUCCAUGCGCGCGUAUCUGUCAAAUGUACAGUUAAAGGGUUAUUCCGCAUUUUUUGCCGAUACGCACACAUUGGAAUUUCGCUAACUCCUCCGAAGGCUUUCGUUCCACCGGCACCACAUUUGCUCAGGCCAAUCUACACCCCAUGGCCAUUAAAAGUUAUUCAAAUCAUGAUGCUGCACCCCAUGGUUUAGGUUCUAGGGGGCGCCAAAAAUAACCCAAAAAUCCACAUUCUUAAAUGUUUUAUAACUUUUUAUUUUUGUCCUCACUGGCCUCCAAGUUUUCUAGGAUGAUGCAAUGUCCAGCCAUCAACACAUUUGUGAAGGAAUUUUUACUCCCCAAAAGAGCGCCCCCCCAUGGUAGGAGAAAAAAGUCAAUUAGGGCCCGAGCGUAGCUGCUAAGCAGCUGCGAGAGCCCUCUUGUUCCUGUAGUUUCCUUCUUUUGUUAUUAUUAUUAUUUUUCCUCCCCUUUGAACUGGAAAAUGGCCCACUUCCCACUGGCGAAAACUCAUGAAAUUUGGCAGGACGACCGGGCCUGGUGAAAAAUUUGAUAUUCCGAAGUCGCCCAAACAAGAAAAUGCAAAAUGGCUCCAUAGCGCCCCCUAAGGUGAAAAUUCACACUAUUCACUGUCACGCCUGUACGCUUUGUCAAAAUGACACAAAAAUUGACACACACAUGUAUCUCAAUAAGAUCUACAAAAAAGUCAGUGCGGGCGUAUCUGUCAAAUGUACGGUUAAAGGGUUAUUUCGCAUUUUUUGCCGAUCCGCACACAUUGGAAUUUCGCUAACUCCUCCGAAGGCUUUCGUUCCACCGGCACCACAUUUGCUCAGGCCAAUCUACACCCCAUGGCCAUUAAAAGUUAUUCAAAUCAUGACGCUGCACCCCACGGUUUAGGUUCUAGGGGGCGCCAAAGAUAACCCUAAGAUCCACAUAUUUAAAAGUCUUAUAACUUUUUAUUUUUGCCCUCACUGGCCUCCAAGUUUUCUAGGAUGAUGCAAUGUCCAGCCAUCAACACAUUUGUGAAGGAAUUUUUACUCCCCAAAAGAGCGCCCCCCCAUGGCAGGAGAAAAAAGUCCAUUUUUUCUUGUCCCCUAAGGUGAAAAUACACAUUGUUGAGUGUAACACCUGUACGCUUUGGCAAAAUGACACAAAAAUUGACACACACAUGUAUCUCAAUAAGAUCUACGAAAAAGUCAAUGCGCGCGUAUCUGUUAAAUGUACGGUUAAAGGGUUAUUCCGCAUUUUUUGCCGAUCCGCACACAUUGGAAUUUCGCUAACUCCUCCGAAGGCUUUCGUUCCACCGGCACCACAUUUGCUCAGGCCAAUCUACACCCCAUGGCCAUUAAAAGUUAUUCAAAUCAUGACGCUGCACCCCACGGUUUAGGUUCUAGGGGGCGCCAAAGAUAACUGUAAAAUCCACAUAUUUAAAAGUCUUAUAACUUUUUAUUUUUGUCCCCACUGGCCUCCAAGUUUUCUAGGAUGAUGCAAUGUCCAGCCAUCAACACAUUUGUGAAGGAAUUUUUACUCGCCAAAAGAGCGCCCCCAUGGCAGGAGAAAAAAGUCCAUUUUUUCUUGUCCACUAAGGUGAAAAUACACAUUGUUGAGUGCUACGCCUGUAUGUUUUGUCGUAUUGACACAAAAUUUUACAUACACAUGUAUUUCAAUAAGAUCUUCGAAAAAGUCAAUGGCCACGUAUCUGUAAAAUGUACGGUUAAAGGGUUAUUUCGCAUUUUUUGCAGAUUCGCACACAUUGGAAUUUCGCUAACUCCUCCGAAGGCUUUCGUUCCACCGGCACCACAUUUGCUCAGGCCAAUCUACACCCCAUGGCCAUUAAAAGUUAUUCAAAUCAUGACGCUGCACCCCACGGUUUAGGUUCUAGGGGGCGCCAAAGAUAACCCUAAAAUCCACAUAUUUAAAAGUCUUAUAACUUUUUAUUUUUGUCCUCACUGGCCUCCAUGUUUUCUAGGAUGAUGCAAUGUCCAGCCAUCAACACAUUUGUGAAGGAGUUUUUUCUCGUUAAAAGAGCGCCCCCCCCAUGGCAGGAGAAUAAAGUCAAGUUUUUCCUGUUCAUCAUUCAAUGGCUCAAACGCACUGCUCUCUCGGCAAAAGCGAAAGGAGGAGCAACUUGCCAUUUGGAUAUAUCUUAGCUGUGUUUGUGCCCUCACUCAUGGUCCAGACUUUUUUCAAAUAGGACAUGGAGUUUUUCUGCAGCGAGCGCUUUGGUAGAAACUGCGCCUCCCGUUCAUUAUAAUGGUAAUUGACCACAAACAAGUGCGCACACCAUCUUUGGACCUUGAGUGUGACGCGAUCGGGUGGGGGAGGCGGUCGCGCUGGGGGCGGCGUGACACGGCUCGGGCCCGCCAGUGCCCCAACGGGGCCCUAGUUUUUUCUUGUCCCCUUACAUGAAAAUACACAUUGUUGAGUGUCACGCCUGAACGCUUUGUCAUAUUGACAAAAAAAUUGACAAUCAUGUGUAUCUCAAUUAGAUCUACGAAAAAGUCAAAGAGCGCGUAUCUUUAUAAUGUACGGUUAAAGGGCUAUUUUGCAUUUUUUGCCGAUUCGCACACAUUGGAAUGUGGCUAUCUCCUCCUAAGGCUUUCGUCCCACCGAUACCAAGUUUGCUCAGGGCAAUCUACACCCCAUGCCCAUUCAAAGUUGUAAAAAUCAUGACGCUGCACCCCACGGUUUACGUUCUAGUGGGCGCCAAAGAUGACCCACAAAUCCACAUUCUUAAAAGUCAUUUUGGCCACUGCAGGAGUACAGAGUACUGCAGUUCUAGGGGGCGCCAAAGAUGACCCAAAAAUCCACAUUCUUAAAAGUCUUUUUGGCCACUGCAGGAGUACAGAGUACUGCAGGAUACACACACAUAUACACACACGCCAACAUACACACACACACACACACACACACACACACACAGACACACACACACACUCAGAGUCUGUUUUUUAGCACCUGCAAAAACAUGCUGUUUACAUAUUUGACAAGAAUGCAGAGGCUUCCUUUUGCCCCUGAAAAAACUCAAAUUUCAAACACAACUUGACUGUUCAUUUCUCCAAAAGACAACCAUGAAGUUCCAUUUCAAACCUGAAGCAGAUAGUUGGUGCAUGUGUACAGUAACCUGAGGGGAGUGAGGUGACUAUUUCUGAGGAGAACAUGAGCAGUGAAGAUUCACCUUGGAGCUAGAACAGGGACGUGCACAUGAUUAUACAGGGGCAGGGGCUCAAGUUUUUUCGAGUCAUUUAUACAAUAUGGAAAUUAAUGUGAAAUUAAACCACAAAUAUGUGUGAUGAACUGUUUUUAAAACUUAAACUUCAAAUAAAAAUUGUAAACUUCAAAACAUAUGCAAAUUUUUAACAAAGAACAUAGUGAUUUACCUCUAUUUACAUCAAAAUGCAGGCAAUGGCCCAGGCGUUCUUUGUAAAAUUAUUUACAAAACACUGUAUAGUCUCACAAAUGUCACUUUUUAUUUAUGCCACUACAAAAAAACAUGAUGUAAAUGAUGCAUGAUGUAAAACAUGAUGUAACAAACUUGUGUAGAUCCUCCUCUAUGUCAGUCCAUGUGUAAUUUUUCCAUAAUUCUUUGUUUUUUGCAGCAUUUUUGUUAGUGUAACUGCAGAUUGUGCUGACAGUGUCUAUGGCACAAAAAAAAAAAAAUAAAUAAAAUGCCUCAACAUGAACCCCUGGUGGUCUCUGAGGGUGAAACCUGCUAACUGCUGCAGCUCUGUCAGCUUCAGUCUCCCAUGCAGAGCUCUGAGCGCAUGUGUGGCUCUGCACCCUUAGCAGCGUUGCUAACUCCUCAGUAAGGAAAGCCUGCUUCAUGUCAGAGUCUCUAAACUCCAGAAGAAGUCGAUAAAAGUCCCUUUCUUUCUAAAAAAAAGUCGUUAGGGGGUCUGAAAAGUCAUUGAAUCUAACAACAAAGUCGCUAGGUUUGCAACUACGUGUCCCAGACUGCAUCCCUGCUGAGAGUCCCUCCCUCCCUUCUCAUGUUGCAGGAAGAACGUAAGCGCCCGCCCCUUGUCAAUCAGUCACCAUAUAAUUUUGGAUUGGUUGUUGUGGUGAAGUUUCCCACCAAUAGGAGAGAUGUUGUGGUGUGUUUUUUUUUUUUCUUUUGGCAAGCCUUUUCCGCCUGUAAGACCUGUCGCUAAUGUCUGCAUGCUAUGUUUUCCUGUCUCAUACAGCGCGAUCGAGCGCCGAACGUGAUCAAAAUAAGCAGAAAAAAAGUAUCGCGGACAUAAUUUAUCAUAACUCUGGUUUUAUUUGGCCUAUCAACACAAUUUAAAAACUGGUAUAUAGGUUGAGGUCCUCACUUUUGAGAUAAGUUGAAACGGAGAGUCAACGAGGCUCCGUCUUGCAGCUACAUCCGGUUAAAUAUGUCAUGUGACUUGAACGCACACACAGACACACACACACGCACACACACACACACACACACACACACUCAGAGUCUGGUUUUUAGCACCUGCAAAAACAUGCUAUUUACAUAUUUGACAAGAAUGCAGAGGCUCCUUUUGCCCCUGAAAAAAAAAUCAAAUUUCAAACACAACUUGACUGGUCAUUUCUCCAAAAGACAACCAUGAAGCUCCAUCCAAACCUGAAGCAGGCAGUUGGUGCAUGUGUACAGUAACCUGAGGGGAGUGAGGUGAGUGCUUCUGAGGAGAACAUGAGCAGUGAAGAUUCACCUUGGAGCUAGAACAGAGACAUGCACAUGAUUAUACAGGGGCAGGGGCUCAAGUUUUUAUACAAUAUGGAAAUUAAUGUGAAAUUAAAACACAAAGUAUUAAUAGAAAGGUAAUGACUGUCCUGUGUAGGUGACAGUGAUAUCCAAUAGGCUAGGCACUCACGAGGCUGGCUGUGGCAAGUGUAAGUGAAAGCAACACGCACUGGCAGGAAGAACAGCAAACGCCGAUGAAGGAAAAGGGUCUUUGCAGUGAUGGGCGUUAACAGAGAGGGCGAUGGCCAGAGGACACAAAUGGGACGGGGAGGCAGCACGUUGGGGGGGGGGGGGGGGGGAGACGCGACACGGCUCGGGCCCGCCAGUGCCCCAACGGGGUCCUAGUUAUUAUUAUUUUUCCUCCCCUUUGAACUGGAAAAUGGCCCACUUCCCACUGGCGAAAACUCAUGAAAUUUGGCAGGACGACCGGGCCUGGUGAAAAAUUUGAUAUUCCGAAGUCGCCCAAACAAGAAAAUGCAAAAUGGCUCCAUAGCGCCCCCUAAGGUGAAAAUUCACACUAUUGACUGUCACGCGUGUACGCUUUGUCAAAAUGACACAAAAAUUGACACACACAUGUAUCUCAAUAAGAUCUACAAAAAAGUCAAUGCGCGCGUAUCUGUCAAAUGUACGGUUAAAGGGUUAUUCCGCACUUUUUGCCGAUCCGCACACAUUGGAAUUUCGCUAACUCCUCCGAAGGCUUUCGUUCCACCGGCACCACAUUUGCUCAGGCCAAUCUACACCCCAUGGCCAUUAAAAGUUAUUCAAAUCAUGACGCUGCACCCCACGGUUUAGGUUCUAGGGGGCGCCAAAGAUAACCCUAAAAUCCACAUAUUUAAAAGUCUUAUAACUUUUUAUUUUUGUCCUCACUGGCCUCCAAGUUUUCUAGGAUGAUGCAAUGUCCAGCCAUCAACACAUUUGUGAAGGAAUUUUUACUCCCCAAAAGAGCGCCCCCCCAUGGCAGGAGAAAAAAGUCAAUUUUUUCUUGUCCCCUAAGGUGGAAAUUCACACUAUUGACUGUCACGCCUGUACACUUUAUCAUAUUGACACAAAAAUUGACACACAUAUGUAUCUCAAUAAGAUCUACGAAAAAGUCAAUGCACGCGUAUCUGUCAAAUGUACGGUUAGAGGGCUAUUUUGCAUUUUUUGCCGAUUCGCACACAUUGGAAUGUGGCUAACUCCUCCUAAGGCUUUCGUCCCACUGAAACCAAAUUUGCUCAGGCCAAUCUACAGCCCAUGGCCAUUCAAAGUUGUAAAAAUCAUGACGCUGCACCCCACGGUUUACGUUCUAGGGGGCGCCAAAGAUGACCCAAAAAUCCACAUUAUUAAAAGAAUCCACAUUCCCCCCCCCCCAAUGGCACGAGAAAAAGUCAAGUUUUUCCUGCCCAUCGCUCAAUGGCUCAAUCGCAUCGCUCUCCAGGCAAAACCGUAAGGAGGAGCAACCUGCCAUUUCGAUAUAUAUCCCAGCUGUGUUUGUGUCCUCACUCAUGGUCCAGACUUUUUUCAAAUAGGACAUGAAGUUUGUCUGCAGCGAGUGUUUUGGUAGAAACUGCGCCUCCCAUUCAUUAUAAUGGGAAAUGACUACAGACAAGUGCGCACACCAUCUUUGGACCUUGAGUGUGACGCGAUUGGGAGGGGGAGGCGGUCGCGCUGGGGGCGGCGCAACGCGGCUCGGGCCCGACAGUGCCCCACCGGGGCCCUAGUUAGGGCCCGAGCGUAGCUGCUAAGCAGCUGCGAGAGCCCUCUUGUUCCUGCAUGUUUCCUUCUUUUGUUAUUAUUAGGGCCCGAGCCAGCUGCAGAGCAGCCGGGCGUAGAGCCCUAUUAUUCCUGUAUAGGUUUUUCUUUCUUCUUUCUUUCUUUCUUUCUUUCUUCUUAUUUUUCCUCCCCUUUGAAGGGGAAAAUGGCCCACUUCCCACUGGCGAAAACUCAGGACAUUUGGCAGGACAACCGGGCCUGGUGAAAAAUUCGAUAUUCUGAAGUCGCCCAAACAAUAAAAUGCAAAAUGGCUCCAUAGCGCCCCCUAAGGUGAAAAUUCACACUAUUGACUGUCACGCCUGUACGCUUUGUCAUUUUGACACAAAAAUUGACACACACGUGUAUCUCAAUACGGUCUACGAAAAAGUCAGCGCGGGCGCACCUGUGAAAUGUACGGUUAGAGGGUUAUUUCGCAUUUUUUGCCGAUCUGCACACAUUGGAAUUUCGCUAACUCCUCCGAAGGCAUUCGUUCCACCGGCACCACAUUUGCUCAGGCCAAUCUACACCCCAUGGCCAUUAAAAGUUGUACAAAUCAUGACGCUGCACCCCACGGUUUACGUUCUAGGGGGCGCCAAAGAUAACACUAAAAUCCACAUAUUUAAAAGUCUUAUAACUUUUUAUUUUUGUCCUCAAUGGCCUCCAAGUUCUCUAGGAUGAUGCAAUGUCCAGCCAUCAACACAUUUGUGAAGGAAUUUUUACUAGCCAAAAGAGCGCCCCCCAUGGCAGGAGAAAAAAGUCCAUUUUUUCUUGUCUCCUAAGGCGAAAAUACACAUUGUUGACUGUCACGCCUUUACGCUUUGUCAAAAUGACACAAAAUUUGACACACACAUGUAUCUCAAUAAGAUCUACGAAAAAGUCAAUGCGAGCGUAUCUGUUCAAUGUACGGUUAAAGGGUUAUUUUGCAUUUUUUCCCGAUCCGCACACAUUGGAAUUUCGCUAACUCCUCCGAAGGCUUUAAUUCCACCGCCACCAAAUUUGCUCAGGCCAAUCUACACCCCAUGGCCAUUAAAAGUUGUACAAAUCAUGACGCUGCACUCCACGGUUUAGGUUCUAGGGGGCGCCAAAGAUAACCCAAAAAUCCACAUUCUUAAUAGUCUUAUAACUUUUUAUUUUUGUCCUCACUGGCCUCCAAGUUUUCUAGGAUGAUGCAAUGUCCAGCCAUCAACACAAUUGUAAAGGAAUUUUUACUCCCGAAAAGGGCGCCCCCCCAUGGCAGGAGAAAAAAGUCCAUUUUUUCUUGUCCCCUAAGGUGAAAAAACACAUUGUUGACUGUCACGCCUAUACGCUUUGUCAAAAUGACACAAAAUUUGACACACACGUGUAUCUCAAUAAGAUCUACGAAAAAGUCAAUGGGCACGUAUCUGUAAAAUGUACGGAUAAAGGGCUAUUUCGCAUUUUUUGCCGAUUCGCACACAUUGGAAUGUGGCUAACUCCUCCUAAGGCUUUCUUCCCACCGACACCAAAUUUGCUCAAGCCGAUCUACAUCCCAUGGCCAUUCAAAGUUGUAAAAAUCAUGCCGCUGCACCCCAUGGUUUACGUUCUAGGGGGCGCCAAAGAUGACCCAAAUAUUCACAUUCUUAAAAAAAAUCCACAUCCCCCCCCCCCCCAAGGCAGGAGAAAAAGUCAAGUUUUCCCUGCCCAUCGCUCAAUGGCUCAAUCGCAUCGCUCUCCCGGCAACACCGUAAGGAGGAGCAACUUGCCAUUUGGAUAUAUCCUAGCUGUGUUUGUGCCCUCACUCAUGGUCCAGACUUUUUUCAAAUAGGACAUGUAGUUUGUCUGCAGCGACCGUUUUGGUAGAAACUGCGCCUCCCAUUCAUUAUAAUGGGAAAUGACCACAGACAAGUGCGCACACCAUCUUUGGACCUUGAGUGUGAUGCAAUCGGGAGGGGGAGGCGGUCGCGCUGGGGGCGGCGCGACGCGGCUCGGGCCCGAAAGUGCCCCACCGGGGCCCUAGUUAUUAUUUUUCCUCCCCUUUGAACUGGAAAAUGGCCCACUUCCCACUGGCGAAAACUCAUGAAAUUUGGCAGGACGACCGGGCCUGGUGAAAAAUUUGAUAUUCCGAAGUCGCCCAAACAAGAAAAUGCAAAAUGGCUCCAUAGCGCCCCCUAAGGUGAAAAUUCACACUAUUGACUGUCACGCGUGUACGCUUUGUCAAAAUGACACAAAAAUUGACACACACAUGUAUCUCAAUAAGAUCUACAAAAAAGUCAAUGCGCGCGUAUCUGUCAAAUGUACGGUUAAAGGGUUAUUCCGCACUUUUUGCCGAUCCGCACACAUUGGAAUUUCGCUAACUCCUCCGAAGGCUUUCGUUCCACCGGCACCACAUUUGCUCAGGCCAAUCUACACCCCAUGGCCAUUAAAAGUUAUUCAAAUCAUGACGCUGCACCCCACGGUUUAGGUUCUAGGGGGCGCCAAAGAUAACCCUAAAAUCCACAUAUUUAAAAGUCUUAUAACUUUUUAUUUUUGUCCUCACUGGCCUCCAAGUUUUCUAGGAUGAUGCAAUGUCCAGCCAUCAACACAUUUGUGAAGGAAUUUUUACUCCCCAAAAGAGCGCCCCCCCAUGGCAGGAGAAAAAAGUCAAUUUUUUCUUGUCCCCUAAGGUGGAAAUUCACACUAUUGACUGUCACGCCUGUACGCUUUAUCAUAUUGACACAAAAAUUGACACACAUAUGUAUCUCAAUAAGAUCUACAAAAAAGUCAAUGCGCGCGUAUCUGUCAAAUGUACGGUUAAAGGGUUAUUUUGCAUUUUUUGCCGAUUCGCACACAUUGGAAUGUGGCUAACUCCUCCUAAGGCUUUCGUCCCACUGACACCAAAUUUGCUCAGGCCAAUCUACACCCCAUGGCCAUUCAAAGUUGUAAAAAUCAUGACGCUGCACCCCACGGUUUACGUUCUAGGGGGCGCCAAAGAUGACCCAAAAAUCCACAUUCUUAAAGGAAUCCCCCCCCCCCCCCCAAGGCAGGAGAAAAAGUCAAGUUAACCCUGCCCAUCGCUCAAUGGCUCAAUCGCAUCGCUCUCCAGGCAACACCGUAAGGAGGAGCAACCUGCCAUUUCGAUAUAUCAUAGCUGUGUUUGUGCCCUCACUCAUGGUCCAGACUUUUUUCAAAUAGGACAUGAAGUUUGUCUGCAGCGAGUAUUUUGGUAGAAACUGCGCCUCCCAUUCAUUAUAAUGGGAAAUGACCACAGACAAGUGCGCACACCAUCUUUGGACCUUGAGUGUGACGCGAUCGGGAGGGGGAGGCGGUCGCGCUGGGGGCGGCGCGACGCGGCUCGGGCCCGACAGUGCCCCACCGGGGCCCUAGUUAUUAUUUUUCCUCCCCUUUAAACUGGAAACUGGCCCACUUCCCACUGGCGAAAACUCAUGAAAUUUGGCAGGACGACCGGGCCUGGUGAAAAAUUCGAUAUUCUGAAGUCACCCAAACAAUAAAAUGCAAAAUGGCUCCAUAGCGCCCCCUAAGGUGAAAAUUCACACUAUUGACUGUCACGCCUGUACACUUUGUCAUAUUGACACAAAAAUUGACACACACAUGUAUCUCAAUAAGAUCUACAAAAAAGUCAGUGCGGGCGUAUCUGUCAAAUGUACGGUUAAAGGGUUAUUUCGCAUUUUUUGCCGAUCCGCACACAUUGGAAUUUCGCUAACUCCUCCGAAGGCUUUCGUUCCACCGGCACCACAUUUGCUCAGGCCAAUCUACACUCCAUGGCCAUUCAAAGUUGUACAAAUCAUGAUGCUGCACCCCAUGGUUUACGUUCUAGGGGGCGCCAAAAAUAACCCAAAAAUCCACAUUCUUAAAAGUUUUAUAACUUUUUAUUUUUGUCCUCACUGGCCUCCAAGUUUUCUAGGAUGAUGCAAUGUCCAGCCAUCAACACAUUUGUGAAGGAAUUUUUACUCCCCAAAAGAGCGCCCCCCCCAUGGCAGGACAAAAAAGUCAAUUUUUUCUUGUCCCCUAAGGUGAAAAUACACAUUGUUGAGAUUCACGCCUGUACGCUUUGUCAUAUUUACAAAAAAUUUGACACACAUGUGUAUCUCAAUAACAUCUACGAAAAAGUCAAUGCGCGCGUAUCUGUAAAAUGUACGGCUAAACGGCUAUUUUGCAUUUUUUGCCGAUUCGCACACAUUGGAAUGUGGCUAACUCCUCCUAAGGCUUUCGUCCCACUGACACCAAAUUUGCUCAGGCCAAUCUACACCCCAUGGCCAUUCAAAGUUGUAAAAAUCAUGCCGCUGCACCCCAUGGUUUACGUUCUAGGGGGCGCCAAAGAUGACCCAAAUACCCACAUUCUUAAAAGUCGUUUUGGCCACUGCAGGAGUACAGAGUACUGCAGGAUACACACACACAGAUACACACACACACAGACACACACACACACACACGCACACACACACACACACACACACACAUACACACUCAGAGUCUGUUUUUCAGCACCUGCAAAAACAUGCUAUUUACAUAUUUGACAACAAUGCAGAGACUUCCUUUUGCCCCUGAAAAAAAUGAAAUUUCAAACACAACUUGACUGCUCAUUUCUCCAAAAGACAACCAUGAAGCUCCAUCCAAACCUGAAGCAGGCAGUUGGUGCAUGUGUACAGUAACCUGAGGGGAGUGAGGUGACUGCUUCUGAGGAGAACAUGAGCAGUGAAGAUUCACCUUGGAGCUAGAACAGGGACGUGCACAUGAUUAUACAGGGGCAGGGGCUCAAGUUUUUUCCAGUCGUUUAUACAAUAUGGAAAUUAAUGUGAAAUUAAAAAACAAAGUAUUAAUAGAAAGGUAAUGACUGUCCUGUGUAGGUGACAGUGAUAUCCAAUAGGCUAGGCACUCACGAGGCUGGCUGUGGCAAGUGCAAGUGAAAGCCACACGCACUGGCAGGAAGAACAGCAAACGCCGAUGAAGGAAAAGGGUCUUUGCAGUGAUGGGCGUUACCAGAGAGGACGAUGGCCAGAGGACGCGAAUGGGACGGGGAGGCAGCGCGUUGGGGGGGGGGGGGGGGGGCGCGACACAGCUCGGGCCCGCCAGUGCCCCAACGGGGCCCUAGUUAGGGCCCGAGCGUAGCUGCUAAGCAGCUGCGAGAGCCCUCUUGUUCCUGAUGGAUUCUUCUUUUGUUAUUAUUAGGGCCCGAGCCAGCUGCAGAGCAGCCGGGCGUAGAGCCCUAUUAUUCCUGUAUAGGUUUUUCUUUCUUCUUUCUUUCUUUCUUUCUUUCUUUCUUUAGGGCCCGAGCGUAGCUGCUAAGCAGCUGCGAGAGCCCUAUUAUUCCUGAUGGAUUCUUCUUUCUUCUUCUUCUUCUUAUUAUUAGGGCCCGAGCGUAGCUGCUAAGCAGCUGCGAGAGCCCUGUUGUUCCUGAUGAGUUUUUCUUUCUUCUUUCUUUCUUUCUUUCUUUCUUUCUUCUUAUUUUUCCUCCCCUUUGAAGGGGAAAAUGGCCCACUUCCCACUGGCGAAAACUCAUGAAAUUUGACAGGACGACCGGGCCUGGUGAAAAAUUCGAUAUUCUGAAGUCGCCCAAACAAUAAAAUGCAAAAUGGCUCCAUAGCGCCCCCUAAGGUGAAAAUUCACACUAUUGACUGUCACGCCUGUACGCUUUGUCAUAUUGACACAAAAAUUGACACACACAUGUAUCUCAAUAAGAUCUACAAAAAAGUCAGCACGGGCGUGUCUGUCAAAUGUACGGUUAAAGGGUUAUUUCGCAUUUUUUGCCGAUCCGCACACAUUGGAAUUUCGCUAACUCCUCCGAAGGCUUUCGUUCCACCGGCACCACAUUUGCUCAGGCCAAUCUACACCCCAUGGCCAUUAAAAGUUGUACAAAUCAUGACGCUGCACCCCACGGUUUACGUUCUAGGGGGCGCCAAAGAUAACCCAAAAAUCCACAGAUCUUAAAAGUCUUAUAACUUUUUAUUUUUGUCCUCACUGGCCUCCAAGUUCUCUAGGAUGAUGCAAUGUCCAGCAAUUAACACAUUUGUGAAGGAAUUUUUACUCGCCAAAAGAGCGCCCCCCCAUGGCAGGAGAAAAAAGUCCAUUUUUUCUUGUCCCCUAAGGCGAAUAUACACAUUGUUGAGUGUCACGCCUGUACGCUUUGUCAUAUUGACACAAAAUUUGACAAUCACGUGUAUCUCAAUAAGAUCUACGAAAAAGUCAAUGUGCGCGUAUCUGUAAAAUGUACAGUUAAAGGGCUAUUUCGCAUUUUUUGCCGAUUCGCACACAUUGGAAUGUGGCUAACUCCUCCUAAGGCUUUCGUUCCACUGACACCAAAUUUGCUCAGGCCAAUCUACACCCCAUGGCCAUUCAAAGUUGUACAAAUCAUGACGCUGCAUCCCACGGUUUACGUUCUAGGGGGCGCCAAAGAUGACCCAAAUAUCCACAUUUUUAAAAGUCUUAUAACUUUAUUUUUGUCCUCACUGGCCUCCAAGUUUUCUAGGAUGAUGCAAUGUUCAGUCAUCAACACAUUUGUGAAGGAAUUUUUUUUCCCCAAAAGAGCGCCCCCCCCCAUGGCAGGAGAAAAAGUCAAGUUUUUCCUGCCCAUCGCUCAAUGGCUCAAAUUCAUCGCUCUCUCGGCAAAACCGAAAGGAGGAGCACCUUGCCAUUUGGGUAUAUACUAGCUGUGUUUGUGCCCUCACUCAUGGUCCAGACUUUUUUCAAAAAGGACAUGGAGUUUGUCUGCAGCGAGCGUUUUGGUAGAAACUGCGCCUCCCAUUCAUUAUAAUGGUAAAUGACCACAGACAAGUGCGCACACCAUCUUUGGACCUUUAGUGUGACGCGAUCGGGACGGGUAGGUGGUCGCGCUGGGAGCGGCGCGACACGGCUCGGGCCCGCCAGUGCCCCAACGGGGCCCUAGUUAUUUUUCUGCCCCUUUGAACUGGAAAAUGGCCCACUUCCCACUGGUGAAAAGUCAUGAAAUUUGGCAGGACGACCGGGCCUGGUGAAAAAUUCGAUAUUCUGAAGUCGCCCAAAAAAUCAAAUGCAAAAUGGCUCCAUAGCGCCCCCUAAGGUGAAAAAUUCACAUGAUUGAGUGUCACGCCUGUACGCUUUGUCAAAAUGACACAAAAUUUGACACACACGUGUAUCUCAAUAAGAUCUACAAAAAAGUCAGUGCGGGCGUAUCUGUCAAAUGUACGGUUAAAGGGCUAUUUCGCAUUUUUUGCCGAUCCGCACACAUUGGAAUUUCGCUAACUCCUCCGAAGGCUUUCGUUCCACCGGCACCAAAUUUGCUCAGGCCAAUCUACACCCCAUGGCCAUUAAAAGUUGUACAAAUCAUGACGCUGCAUCCCACGGUUUACGUUCUAGGGGGCGCCAAAGAUAACCCAGAAAUCCACAUUCUUAAAAGUCGUAUAACUUUUUAUUUUUGUCCUCACUGGCCUCCAAGUUUUCUAGGAUGAUGCAAUGUCCAGCCAUCAACACAUUUGUGAAGGAAUUUUUACUCCCCAAAAGAGCGCCCCCCCAUGGCAGGAGAAAAAAGUCCAUUUUUUCUUGUCUCCUAAGGCGAAAAUUCACACUAUUGACUGUCACGCCUUUACGCUUUGUCAUAUUGACACAAAAAUUGACACACACAUGUAUCUCAAUAAGAUCUACAAAAAAGUCAGUGCGGGCGUAUCUGUCAAAUGUACGGUUAAAGGGUUAUUUCGCAUUUUUUGCCGAUCCGCACACAUUGGAAUUUCGCUAACUCCUCCGAAGGCUUUCGUUCCAAAGGCACCACAUUUGCUGAGGCCAAUCUACACCCCAUGGCCAUUAAAAGUUGUACAAAUCAUGACGCUGCACCCCACGGUUUACGUUCUAGGGGGCGCCAAAGAUAACCCAAAAAUCCACAUAUUUAAAAGUCUUAUAACUUUUUAUUUUUGUCCUCACUGGCCUCCAAGUUCUCUAGGAUGAUGCAAUGUCCAGCCAUCAACACAUUUGUGAAGGAAUUUUUACUCGCCAAAAGAGCGCCCCCCCCCAUGGCAGGAGAAAAAAGUCCAUUUUUUCUUGUCUCCUAAGGCGAAAAUACACAUUGUUGACUGUCACGCCUUUACGCUUUGUCAAAAUGACACAAAAUUUGACACACACAUGUAUCUCAAUAAGAUCUACAAAAAAGUCAGUGCGGGCGUAUCUGUCAAAUGUACGGUUAAAGGGUUAUUUCGCAUUUUUUGCCGAUCCGCACACAUUGGAAUUUCGCUAACUCCUCCUAAAUCUUUUGUCCCAUCGGCUUCAAAUUUGCUCAGGUCAAUCUACACCCCAUGGCCAUUCAAAGUUGUACAAAUCAUGACGCUGCACCCCACAGUUUACGUUCUAGGGGGCGCCAAAGAGGACCCAAAUACCCACAUUUUUAAAAGUCUUAUAACUUUUUAUUUUUGUCCUCACUGGCCUCCAAGUUUUCUAGGAUGAUGCAAUGUCCAGCCAUCAACACAUUUGUGAAGGAAUUUUUUCUCCCCAAAAGAGCGCCCCCCCAUGGCAGGAGAAAAAGUCAAGUUUUUCCUGCCCAUCGCUCAAUGGCUCAAACGCAUCGCUCUCUCUGCAAAACCGAAAGGAGGAGCAACUUGCCAUUUGGAUAUAUACUAGCUGUGUUUGUGCCCUCACUCAUGGUCCAGACUUUUUUCAAAUAGGACAUGUAGUUUGUCUGCAGCGAGCGUUUUGGUAGAAACUGCGCCUCCCAUUCAUUAUAAUGGGAAAUGACCACAGACAAGUGCGCACAUCAUCUUUGGACCUUGAGUGUGACGCGAUCGGGAGGGGGAGGCGGUCACGCUGGGGGCGGCGCAACGCGGCUCGGGCCCGACAGUGCCCCACCGGGGCCCUAGUUCUUCUUAUUUUUCCUCCCCUUUGAAGGGGAAAAUGGCCCACUUCCCACUGGCGAAAACUCAUGAAAUUUGGCAGGACGACCGGGCCUGGUGAAAAAUUCGAUAUUCUGAAGUCGCCCAAACAAUAAAAUGCAAAAUGGCUCCAUAGCGCCCCCUAAGGCGAAAAUUCACACUAUUGACUGUCACGCCUGUACGCUUUGUCAUAGUGACACAAAAUUUGACACACACGUGUAUCUCAAUAAGAUCUACAAAAAAGUCAGUGCGGGCGUAUCUGUCAAAUGUACGUUUAAAGGGCUAUUUCGCAUUUUUUGCCGAUCCGCACACAUUGGAAUUUCGCUAACUCCUCCGAAGGCUUUCGUUCCACCGGCACCAAAUUUGCUCAGGCCAAUCUAACCCCCAUGGCCAUUAAAAGUUGUACAAAUCAUGACGCUGCACUCCACGGUUUAGGUUCUAGGGGGCGCCAAAGAUAACCCAAAAAUCCCCAUUCUUAAUAGUCUUAUAACUUUUUAUUUUUGUCCUCACUGGCCUCCAAGUUUUCUAGGAUGAUGCAAUGUCCAGCCAUCAACACAUUUGUAAAGGAAUUUUUACUCCCGAAAAGAGCGCCCCCCCAUGGCAGGAGAAAAAAGUCCAUUUUUUCUUGUCCCCUAAGGUGAAAAAACACAUUGUUGACUGUCACGCCUAUACGCUUUGUCAAAAUGACACAAAAAUUGACACACACGUGUAUCUCAAUACGGUCUACAAAAAAGUCAGCGCGGGCGCAUCUGUGAAAUGUACGGUUAGAGGGUUAUUUCGCAUUUUUUGCAGAUCUGCACACAUUGGAAUUUUGCUAUCUCCUCCGAAGGCAUUCGUUCCACCGGCACCACAUUUGCUCAGGCCAAUCUACACCCCAUGGCCAUUAAAAGUUGUACAAAUCAUGACGCUGCACCCCACGGUUUAGGUUCUAGGGGGCGCCAAAGAUGACCCAAAUAUCCACAUUCUUAAAAGAAUCCACAUCCCCCCCCCCCCCAAGGCAGGAGAAAAAGUCAAGUUAACCCUGCCCAUCGCUCAAUGGCUCAAUCGCAUCGCUCUUCCGGCAACACCGUAAGGAGGAGCAACUUGCCAUUUGGAUAUAUCCUAGCUGUGUUUGAGCCCUCACUCAUGGUCCAGACUUUUUUCAAAUAGGACAUGUAGUUUGUCUGCAGCCACCGUUUUGGUAGAAACUGCGCCUCCCAUUCAUUAUAAUGGGAAAUGACCACAGACAAGUGCGCACACCAUCUUCGGACCUUGAGUGUGACGCGAUCGGGAGGGGGAGGCGGUCGCGCUGGGGGCGGCGCGAUGCGGCUCGGGCCCGACAGUGCCCCACCGGGGCCCUAGUUUAUUAUUAGGGCCCGAGCGUAGCUGCUAAGCAGCUGCGAGGCCCUAUUAUUCCUGUAGUGGUUUUUCUUUGUUUCUUUUUUCUUUUUCCUCCCCUUUGAACUGGAAAAUGGCCCACUUCCCACUGGCGAAAACUCAUGAAAUUUGGCAGGAUGACCGGGCCUGGUGAAAAAUUUGAUAUUCCGAAGUCGCCCAAACAAUAAAAUGCAAAAUGGCUCCAUAGCGCCCCCUAAGGUGAAAAUUCACACUAUUGACUGUCACGCCUGUACGCUUUGUCAAAAUGACACAAAAAUUGACACACACAUGUAUCUCAAUAAGAUCUACAAAAAAGUCAGUGCGGGCGUAUCUGUCAAAUGUACGGUUAAAGGGUUAUUGCGCAUUUUUUGCCGAUCCGCACACAUUGGAAUUUCGCUAACUCCUCCGAAGGCUUUUGUUCCACCGGCACCACAUUUGCUCAGGCCAAUCUACACCCCAUGGCCAUUAAAAGUUAUUCAAAUCAUGACGCUGCACCCCACGGUUUAGGUUCUAGGGGGCGCCAAAGAUAACCCUAAAAUCCACAUAUUUAAAAGUCUUAUAACUUUUUAUUUUUGCCCUCACUGGCCUCCAAGUUUUCUAGGAUGAUGCAAUGUCCAGCCAUCAACACAUUUGUGAAGGAAUUUUUACUCCCCAAAAGAGCGCCCCCCCAUGGCAGGAGAAAAAAGUCCAUUUUUUCUUGUCCCAUAAGGUGAAAAUUCACACUAUUGACUGUCACGCCUGUACGCUUUGUCAAAAUUACACAAAAAUUGACACGCACAUGUAUCUCAAUAAGAUCUACAAAAAAGUCAGUGCGGGCGUAUCUGUCAAAUGUACGGUUAAAGGGUUAUUGCGCAUUUUUUGCCGAUCCGCACACAUUGGAAUUUCGCUAACUCCUCUAAAGGCUUUCGUUCCACCGGCACCACAUUUGCUCAGGCCAAUCUACACCCAAUGGCCAUUAAAAGUUAUUCAAAUCAUGACGCUGCACCCCACGGUUUAGGUUCUAGGGGGCGCCAAAGAUAACCCUAAAAUCCACAUAUUUCAAAGUCUUAUAACUUUUUAUUUUUGCCCUCACUGGCCUCCAAGUUUUCUAGGAUGAUGCAAUGUCCAGCCAUCAACACAUUUGUGAAGGAAUUUUUACUCCCCAAAAGAGCGCCCCCCCAUGGCAGGAGAAAAAAGUCCAUUUUUUCUUGUCCCAUAAGGUGAAAAUACACAUUGUUUAGUGUCACGCCUGUACGCUUUGGCAAAAUGACACAAAAAUUGACACACACAUGUAUCUCAAUAAGAUCUACGAAAAAGUCAAUGCGCGCGUAUCUGUCAAAUGUACGGUUAGAGGGUUAUUUCGCAUUUUUUGCCGAUCCGCACACAUUGGAAUGUGGCUAACUCCUCCUAAGGCUUUCGUCCCACUGACACCAAAUUUGCUCAGGCCAAUCUACACCCCAUGGCCAUUCAAAGUUUUAAAAAUCAUGACGCUGCACCCCACGGUUUACGUUCUAGGGGGCGCCAAAGAUGACCCAAAUAUCCACAUUAUUAAAAGAAUCGAAAUUCCCCCCCCCCCCCCCCCCAUCCCCCAUCCCCCAUCCCCCAUCCCCCAUGGCAGGAGAAACAGUCAAGUUUUUCCUGCCCAUCACUCAAUGGCUCAAUCGCAUCGCUCUCCCGGCAACACCGUAACGAGGAGCAACUUGCCGUUUGGAUAUAUCCUAGCUGUGUUUGUGCCCUCACUCAUGGUCCAGACUUUUUUCAAAUAGGACAUGUAGUUUGUCUGCAGCGAGUGUUUUGGUAGAAACUGCGCCUCCCAUUCAUUAUAAUGGGAAAUGACCACAAACAAGUGCGCACACCAUCUUUGGACCUUGAGUGUGACGCGAUCGGAAGGGGGAGGUGGUCGCACUGGGGGCGGCGCGACGCGGCUCGGGCCCGACAGUGCCCCACCGGGGCCCUAGUUAUUAUUUUUCUGCCCCUUUGAACUGGAAAAUGGCCCACUUCCCACUGGUGAAAAGUCAUGAAAUUUGGCAGGACGACCGGGCCUGGUGAAAAAUUCGAUAUUCUGAAGUCGCCCAAAAAAUCAAAUGCAAAAUGGCUCCAUAGCGCCCCCUAAGGUGAAAAAUUCACAUGAUUGAGUGUCACGCCUGUACGCUUUGUCAAAAUGACACAAAAUUUGACACACACGUGUAUCUCAAUAAGAUCUACAAAAAAGUCAGUGCGGGCGUAUCUGUCAAAUGUACGGUUAAAGGGCUAUUUCGCAUUUUUUGCCGAUCCACACACAUUGGAAUUUCGCUAACUCCUCCGAAGGCUUUCGUUCCACCGGCACCAAAUUUGCUCAGGCCAAUCUACACCCCAUGGCCAUUAAAAGUUGUACAAAUCAUGACGCUGCAUCCCACGGUUUACGUUCUAGGGGGCGCCAAAGAUAACCCAGAAAUCCACAUUCUUAAAAGUCGUAUAACUUUUUAUUUUUGUCCUCACUGGCCUCCAAGUUUUCUAGGAUGAUGCAAUGUCCAGCCAUCAACACAUUUGUGAAGGAAUUUUUACUCCCCAAAAGAGCGCCCCCCAUGGCAGGAGAAAAAAGUCCAUUUUUUCUUGUCUCCUAAGGCGAAAAUUCACACUAUUGACUGUCACGCCUUUACGCUUUGUCAUAUUGACACAAAAAUUGACACACACAUGUAUCUCAAUAAGAUCUACAAAAAAGUCAGUGCGGGCGUAUCUGUCAAAUGUACGGUGAAAGGGCUAUUUCGCAUUUUUUGCCGAUCCGCACACAUUGGAAUUUCGCUUACUCCUCCGAAGGCUUUCGUUCCAAAGGCACCACAUUUGCUGAGGCCAAUCUACACCCCAUGGCCAUUAAAAGUUGUACAAAUCAUGACGCUGCACCCCACGGUUUACGUUCUAGGGGGCGCCAAAGAUAACCCAAAAAUCCACAGUCUUAAAAGUCUUAUAACUUUUUAUUUUUGUCCUCACUGGCCUCCAAGUUCUCUAGGAUGAUGCAAUGUCCAGCCAUCAACACAUUUGUGAAGGAAUUUUUACUCCCCAAAAGAGCGCCCCCCCAUGGCAGGAGAAAAAAGUCCAUUUUUUCUUGUCUCCUAAGGCGAAAAUUCACACUAUUGACUGUCACGCCUUUACGCUUUGUCAUAUUGACACAAAAAUUGACACACACAUGUAUCUCAAUAAGAUCUACAAAAAAGUCAGUGCGGGCGUAUCUGUCAAAUGUACGGUGAAAGGGCUAUUUCGCAUUUUUUGCCGAUCCGCACACAUUGGAAUUUCGCUAACUCCUCCGAAGGCUUUCGUUCCAAAGGCACCACAUUUGCUGAGGCCAAUCUACACCCCAUGGCCAUUAAAAGUUGUACAAAUCAUGACGCUGCACCCCACGGUUUACGUUCUAGGGGGCGCCAAAGAUAACCCAAAAAUCCACAGUCUUAAAAGUCUUAUAACUUUUUAUUUUUGUCCUCACUGGCCUCCAAGUUCUCUAGGAUGAUGCAAUGUCCAACCAUCAACACAUUUGUGAAGGAAUUUUUACUCGCCAAAAGAGCGCCCCCCCAUGGCAGGAGAAAAAAGUCCAUUUUUUCUUGUCUCCUAAGGCGAAAAUACACAUUGUUGACUGUCACGCCUUUACGCUUUGUCAAAAUGACACAAAAUUUGACACACACAUGUAUCUCAAUAAGAUCUACAAAAAAGUCAGUGCGGGCGUAUCUGUCAAAUGUACGGUUAAAGGGUUAUUUCGCAUUUUUUGCCGAUCCGCACACAUUGGAAUUUCGCUAACUCCUCCUAAAUCUUUUGUCCCAUCGGCUUCAAAUUUGCUCAGGUCAAUCUACACCCCAUGGCCAUUCAAAGUUGUACAAAUCAUGACGCUGCACCCCACAGUUUACGUUCUAGGGGGCGCCAAAGAGGACCCAAAUAUCCACAUUUUUAAAAGUCUUAUAACUUUUUAUUUUUGUCCUCACUGGCCUCCAAGUUUUCUAGGAUGAUGCAAUGUCCAGCCAUCAACACAUUUGUGAAGGAAUUUUUUCUCCCCAAAAGAGCGCCCCCCAUGGCAGGAGAAAAAGUCAAGUUUUUCCUGCCCAUCACUCAAUGGCUCAAACGCAUCGCUCUCUCUGCAAAACCGAAAGGAGGAGCAACUUGCCAUUUGGAUAUAUACUAGCUGUGUUUGUGCCCUCACUCAUGGUCCAGACUUUUUUCGAAUAGGACAUGUAGUUUGUCUGCAGCGAGCGUUUUGGUAGAAACUGCGCCUCCCAUUCAUUAUAAUGGGAAAUGACCACAGACAAGUGCGCACACCAUCUUUGGACCUUGAGUGUGACGCGAUCGGGAGGGGGAGGCGGUCGCGCUGGGGGCGGCGCGACGCGGCUCGGGCCCGACAGUGCCCCACCGGGGCCCUAGUUAUUAUUAUUUUUCCUCCGCUUUAAACUGGAAAAAAACUCACUUCCCACUGGCGAAAACUCAUGAAAUUUGGCAGGACGAAAUUUGGCAGGACGACCGGGCCUGGUGAAAAAUUCGAUAUUCUGAAGUCGCCCAAACAAUAAAAUGCAAAAUGGCUCCAUAGCGCCCCCAAAGGUGAAAAUUCACACCAUUGACUGUCACGCCUGUACGCUUUGUCAUAUUGACACAAAAAUUGACACACAUAUGUAUCUCAAUAAGAUCUAAAAAAAAGUCAGUGCAGGCGUAUCUGUCAAAUGUACGGUUAAAGGGUUAUUUCGCAUUUUUUGCCGAUCCGCACACAUUGGAAUUUCGCUAACUCCUCCAAAGGCUUUCGUUCCACCAGCACCACAUUUGCUCAGGCCAAUCUACACCCCAUGGCCAUUAAAAGUUGUACAAAUCAUGACGCUGCACCCCACGGUUUAGGUUCUAGGGGGCGCCAAAGAUAACCCAAAAAUCCACAUUCUUAAAAGUCUUAUAACUUUUUAUUUUUGUCCUCACUGGCCUCCAAGUUCUCUAGGAUGAUGCAAUGUCCAGCCAUCAACACAUUUGUGAAGGAAUUUUUACUCCCCAAAAGAGCGCCCCCCCAUGGCAGGAGAAAAAAGGCCAUUUUUUCUUGUCCCCUAAGGCGAAAAUACACAUUGUUGAAUGUCACGCCUAUACGAUUUGUCAUAUUGACACAAAAUUUGACAAUCACGUGUAUCUCAAUAAGAUCUACGAAAAAGUCAAUGCGCGCGUAUCUGUAAAAUGUACGGUUAAAGGGCUAUUUCGCAUUUUUUGCCGAUUCGUACACAUUGGAAUGUGGCUAACUCCUCCUAAGGCUUUCGUCCCACUGACACCAAAUUUGCUCAGGCCAAUCUACACCCCAUGGCCAUUCAAAGUUGUACAAAUCAUGACGCUGCACCCCACGGUAUACGUUCUAGGGGGCGCCAAAGAGGACCCAAAUAUCCACAUUUUAAAAAGUCUUAUAACUUUUUAUUUUUGUCCUCACUGGCCUCCAAGUUUUCUAGGAUGAUGCAAUGUCCAGCCAUCAACACAUUUGUAAAGGAAUUUUUCUCCCCAAAAGAGCGCCCCCCAUGGCAGGAGAAAAAGUGAAGUUUUUCCUGCCCAUCCAUAUGGCUCAAACGCAUCGCUCUCUCGGCAAAACCGAAAGGAGGAGCAACUUGCCAUUUGGAUAUAUACUAGCUGUGUUUGUGCCCUCACUCAUGGUCCAGAAUUUUUUCAAAAAGGACUCUGCAGCGAGUGUUUUGGUAGAAACUGCGCCUCCCAUUCAUUAUAAUGGUAAAUGACCACAGACAAGUGCGCACACCAUCUUUGGACCUUGAGUGUGACGCGAUCGGGAGGGGAAGCGGUCGCGCUGGGGGCGGCGCGACACGGCUCGGGCCCGCCAGUGCCCCACCGGGGCCCUAGUUCGUUAUUAUUUUUCCUCCGCUUUAAACUGGAAAAUGGCCCACUUCCCACUGGCGAAAACUCAGGAAAUUUGGCAGGACGACCGGGCCUGGUGAAAAAUUCGAUAUUCUGAAGUCGCCCAAACAAUAAAAUGCAAAAUGGCUCCAUAGCGCCCCCUAAGGUGAAAAUUCACAUGACGGCUGUACGCUUUGUCAUAUUGACACAAAAAUUGACACACACAUGUAUCUCAAUAAGAUCUACAAAAAAGUCAGUGCGGGCGUAUCUGUCAAAUGUACCGUUAAAGGGCUAUUUCGCAUUUUUUGCCGAUCCACACACAUUGGAAUUUCGCUAACUCCUCCGAAGGCUUUCGUUCCACCGGCACCAAAUUUGCUCAGGCCAAUCUACACCCCAUGGCCAUUAAAAGUUGUACAAAUCAUGACGCUGCAUCCCACGGUUUACGUUCUAGGGGGCGCCAAAGAUAACCCAGAAAUCCACAUUCUUAAAAGUCGUAUAACUUUUUAUUUUUGUCCUCACUGGCCUCCAAGUUUUCUAGGAUGAUGCAAUGUCCAGCCAUCAACACAUUUGUGAAGGAAUUUUUACUCCCCAAAAGAGCGCCCCCCCAUGGCAGGAGAAAAAAGUCCAUUUUUUCUUGUCUCCUAAGGCGAAAAUUCACACUAUUGACUGUCACGCCUUUACGCUUUGUCAUAUUGACACAAAAAUUGACACACACAUGUAUCUCAAUAAGAUCUACAAAAAAGUCAGUGCGGGCGUAUCUGUCAAAUGUACGGUGAAAGGGCUAUUUCGCAUUUUUUGCCGAUCCGCACACAUUGGAAUUUCGCUAACUCCUCCGAAGGCUUUCGUUCCAAAGGCACCACAUUUGCUGAGGCCAAUCUACACCCCAUGGCCAUUAAAAGUUGUACAAAUCAUGACGCUGCACCCCACGGUUUACGUUCUAGGGGGCGCCAAAGAUAACCCAAAAAUCCACAGUCUUAAAAGUCUUAUAACUUUUUAUUUUUGUCCUCACUGGCCUCCAAGUUCUCUAGGAUGAUGCAAUGUCCAGCCAUCAACACAUUUGUGAAGGAAUUUUUACUCCCCAAAAGAGCGCCCCCCAUGGCAGGAGAAAAAAGUCCAUUUUUUCUUGUCUCCUAAGGCGAAAAUUCACACUAUUGACUGUCACGCCUUUACGCUUUGUCAUAUUGACACAAAAAUUGACACACACAUGUAUCUCAAUAAGAUCUACAAAAAAGUCAGUGCGGGCGUAUCUGUCAAAUGUACGGUGAAAGGGCUAUUUCGCAUUUUUUGCCGAUCCGCACACAUUGGAAUUUCGCUAACUCCUCCGAAGGCUUUCGUUCCAAAGGCACCACAUUUGCUGAGGCCAAUCUACACCCCAUGGCCAUUAAAAGUUGUACAAAUCAUGACGCUGCACCCCACGGUUUACGUUCUAGGGGGCGCCAAAGAUAACCCAAAAAUCCACAGUCUUAAAAGUCUUAUAACUUUUUAUUUUUGUCCUCACUGGCCUCCAAGUUCUCUAGGAUGAUGCAAUGUCCAGCCAUCAACACAUUUGUGAAGGAAUUUUUACUCGCCAAAAGAGCGCCCCCCAUGGCAGGAGAAAAAAGUCCAUUUUUUCUUGUCUCCUAAGGCGAAAAUACACAUUGUUGACUGUCACGCCUUUACGCUUUGUCAAAAUGACACAAAAUUUGACACACACAUGUAUCUCAAUAAGAUCUACAAAAAAGUCAGUGCGGGCGUAUCUGUCAAAUGUACGGUUAAAGGGUUAUUUCGCAUUUUUUGCCGAUCCGCACACAUUGGAAUUUCGCUAACUCCUCCUAAAUCUUUUGUCCCAUCGGCUUCAAAUUUGCUCAGGUCAAUCUACACCCCAUGGCCAUUCAAAGUUGUACAAAUCAUGACGCUGCACCCCACAGUUUACGUUCUAGGGGGCGCCAAAGAGGACCCAAAUAUCCACAUUUUUAAAAGUCUUAUAACUUUUUAUUUUUGUCCUCACUGGCCUCCAAGUUUUCUAGGAUGAUGCAAUGUCCAGCCAUCAACACAUUUGUGAAGGAAUUUUUUCUCCCCAAAAGAGCGCCCCCCCAUGGCAGGAGAAAAAGUCAAGUUUUUCCUGCCCAUCACUCAAUGGCUCAAACGCAUCGCUCUCUCUGCAAAACCGAAAGGAGGAGCAACUUGCCAUUUGGAUAUAUACUAGCUGUGUUUGUGCCCUCACUCAUGGUCCAGACUUUUUUCGAAUAGGACAUGUAGUUUGUCUGCAGCGAGCGUUUUGGUAGAAACUGCGCCUCCCAUUCAUUAUAAUGGGAAAUGACCACAGACAAGUGCGCACACCAUCUUUGGACCUUGAGUGUGACGCGAUCGGGAGGGGGAGGCGGUCGCGCUGGGGGCGGCGCGACGCGGCUCGGGCCCGACAGUGCCCCACCGGGGCCCUAGUUAUUAUUAUUUUUCCUCCGCUUUAAACUGGAAAAAAACUCACUUCCCACUGGCGAAAACUCAUGAAAUUUGGCAGGACGAAAUUUGGCAGGACGACCGGGCCUGGUGAAAAAUUCGAUAUUCUGAAGUCGCCCAAACAAUAAAAUGCAAAAUGGCUCCAUAGCGCCCCCAAAGGUGAAAAUUCACACCAUUGACUGUCACGCCUGUACGCUUUGUCAUAUUGACACAAAAAUUGACACACAUAUGUAUCUCAAUAAGAUCUACAAAAAAGUCAGUGCAGGCGUAUCUGUCAAAUGUACGGUUAAAGGGUUAUUUCGCAUUUUUUGCCGAUCCGCACACAUUGGAAUUUCGCUAACUCCUCCAAAGGCUUUCGUUCCACCAGCACCACAUUUGCUCAGGCCAAUCUACACCCCAUGGCCAUUAAAAGUUGUACAAAUCAUGACGCUGCACCCCACGGUUUAGGUUCUAGGGGGCGCCAAAGAUAACCCAAAAAUCCACAUUCUUAAAAGUCUUAUAACUUUUUAUUUUUGUCCUCACUGGCCUCCAAGUUCUCUAGGAUGAUGCAAUGUCCAGCCAUCAACACAUUUGUGAAGGAAUUUUUACUCCCCAAAAGAGCGCCCCCCCAUGGCAGGAGAAAAAAGGCCAUUUUUUCUUGUCCCCUAAGGCGAAAAUACACAUUGUUGAAUGUCACGCCUAUACGAUUUGUCAUAUUGACACAAAAUUUGACAAUCACGUGUAUCUCAAUAAGAUCUACGAAAAAGUCAAUGCGCGCGUAUCUGUAAAAUGUACGGUUAAAGGGCUAUUUCGCAUUUUUUGCCGAUUCGUACACAUUGGAAUGUGGCUAACUCCUCCUAAGGCUUUCGUCCCACUGACACCAAAUUUGCUCAGGCCAAUCUACACCCCAUGGCCAUUCAAAGUUGUACAAAUCAUGACGCUGCACCCCACGGUAUACGUUCUAGGGGGCGCCAAAGAGGACCCAAAUAUCCACAUUUUAAAAAGUCUUAUAACUUUUUAUUUUUGUCCUCACUGGCCUCCAAGUUUUCUAGGAUGAUGCAAUGUCCAGCCAUCAACACAUUUGUAAAGGAAUUUUUUCUCCCCAAAAGAGCGCCCCCCCAUGGCAGGAGAAAAAGUGAAGUUUUUCCUGCCCAUCCAUAUGGCUCAAACGCAUCGCUCUCUCGGCAAAACCGAAAGGAGGAGCAACUUGCCAUUUGGAUAUAUACUAGCUGUGUUUGUGCCCUCACUCAUGGUCCAGAAUUUUUUCAAAAAGGACCUGCAGCGAGUGUUUUGGUAGAAACUGCGCCUCCCAUUCAUUAUAAUGGUAAAUGACCACAGACAAGUGCGCACACCAUCUUUGGACCUUGAGUGUGACGCGAUCGGGAGGGGAAGCGGUCGCGCUGGGGGCGGCGCGACACGGCUCGGGCCCGCCAGUGCCCCACCGGGGCCCUAGUUCGUUAUUAUUUUUCCUCCGCUUUAAACUGGAAAAUGGCCCACUUCCCACUGGCGAAAACUCAGGAAAUUUGGCAGGACGACCGGGCCUGGUGAAAAAUUCGAUAUUCUGAAGUCGCCCAAACAAUAAAAUGCAAAAUGGCUCCAUAGCGCCCCCUAAGGUGAAAAUUCACAUGACGGCUGUACGCUUUGUCAUAUUGACACAAAAAUUGACACACACAUGUAUCUCAAUAACAUCUACAAAAAAGUCAGUACGGGCGUAUCUGUCAAAUGUACGGUUAAUGGGUUAUUUUGCAUUUUUUGCAGAUCUGCACACAUUGGAAUUUCGCUAACUCCUCCGAAGGCUUUCGUUCGACCGGCACCACAUUUGCGCAGGCCAAUCUACCCCCCAUGGCCAUUAAAAGUUGUACAAAUCAUGACGCUGCACCCCACGGUUUACGUUCUAGGGGGCGCCAAAGAUAACCCAAAAUCCACAUUCUUAAAAGUCUUAUAACUUUUUAUUUUUGUCCUCACUGCCCUCCAAGUUUUCUAGGAUGAUGCAAUGUCCAGCCAUCAACACAUUUGUGAAGGAAUUUUUACUCCCCAAAAGAGCGCCCCCCCAUGGCAGGAGAAAAAAGUCAAUUUUUUCUUGUCCCCUUACAUGAAAAUACACAUUGUUGAGUGUCAUGCCUGAACGCUUUGUCAUAUUGACACAAAAAUUGACAAUCACGUGUAUCUCAAUUAGAUCUACGAAAAAGUCAAAAAGCGCGUAUCUGUAUAAUGUACGGUUAAAGGGCUAUUUCGCAUUUUUUGCCGAUUCGCACACAUUGGAAUGUGGCUAUCUCCUCCUAAGGCUUUCGUCCCACCGAUACCAAAUUUGCUCAGGGCAAUCUACACCCCAUGCCCAUUCAAAGUUGAAAAAAAAUCAUGACGCUGCACCCCACGGUUUACGUUCUAGGGGGCACCAAAGAUGACCCAAAAAUCCACAUUCUUAAAAGUCAUUUUGGCCACUGCAGGAGUACAGAGUACUGCAGUUCUAGGGGGCGCCAAAGAUGACCCAAAAAUCCACAUUCUUAAAAGUCUUUUUGGCCACUGCAGGAGUACAGAGUACUGCAGGAUACACACACAUAUACACACACACACACACACACACACACACACACACACACACUCAGAGUCUGUUUUUUAGCACCUGCAAAAACAUGCUGUUUACAUAUUUGACAAGAAUGCAGAGGCUUCCUUUUGCCCCUGAAAAAAAUCAGAUUUCAAACACAACUUGACUGUUCAUUUCUCCAAAAGACAACCAUGAAGCUCCAUCCAAACCUGAAGCAGAUAGUUGGUGCAUGUGUACAGUAACCUGAGGGGAGUGAGGUGACUAUUUCUGAGGAGAACAUGAGCAGUGAAGAUUCACCUUGGAGCUAGAACAGGGACGUGCACAUGAUAAUACAGGGGCAGGGGCUCAAGUUUUUUCCAGUCAUUUAUACAAUAUGGAAAUUAAUGUGAAAUUAAAACACAAAUAUGUGUGAUGAACUGUUUUUAAAACUUAAACUUCAAAUAAAAAUUGUAAACUUCAAAACAUAUGCAAAUUUUUAACAAAGAACAUAGUAAUUUACCUCUAUUUACAUCAAAAUGCAGGCAAUGGCCCAGGCGUUCUUUGUAAAAUUAUUUACAAAACACUGUAUAGUCUCACAAAUGUCACUUUUUAUUUAUGCCACUACAAAAAAACAUGAUGUAAAUGAUGCAUGAUGUAAAACAUGAUGUAAAAAACUUGUGCAGAUCCUCCUCUAUGUCAGUCCAUGUGUAAUUUUUCCAUAAUUCUUUGUUUUUUGCAGCAUUUUUGUUAGUGUAACUGCAGAUUGUGCUGACAGUCUAUGGCAAAAAAAACAAAAACUGAAAAUGCCUCAACAUGAACCCCUGGUGGUCUCUGAGGGUGAAACCUGCUAACUGCUGCAGCUCUGUCAGCUUCAGUCUCCCAUGCAGAGCUCGGAGCGCAUGUGUGGCUCUGCACCCUUAGCAGCGUUGCUAACUCCUCAGUAAGGAAAGCCUGCUUCAUGUCAGAGUCUCUAAACUCCAGAAGAAGUCGAUAAAAGUCCCUUUCUUUCUAAAAAAAAGUCGUUAGGGGGUCUGAAAAGUCAUUGAAUCUAACAACAAAGUCGCUAGGUUUGCAACUACGUGUCCCAGACUGCAUCCCUGCUGAGAGUCCCUCCCUCCCUUCUCAUGUUGCAGGAAGAACGUAAGCGCCCGCCCCUUGUCAAUCAGUCACCAUAUAAUUUUGGAUUGGUUGUUGUGGUGAAGUUUUCCACCAAUAGGAGAGAUGUUGUGGUGUGUUUUUUUUUUCUUUUGGCAAGCCUUUUCCGCCUGUAAGACCUGUCGCUAAUGUGUGCAUGCUAUGUUUUCCUGUCUCAUACAGCGCGAUCGAGCGCCGAACGUGAUCAAAAUAAGCAGAAAAAAAGUAUCGCGGACAUAAUUUAUCAUAACUCUGGUUUUAUUUGGCCUAUCAACGCAAUUUAAAAACUGGUAUAUAGGUUGAGGUCCUCACUUUUGAGAUAAGUUGAAACGGAGAGUUAACGAGGCUCCGUCUUGCAGCUACAUCCGGUUAAAUAUGUCAUGUGACUUGAACGCUGGGGAGCGUCAAUCGAAUCGAAUCAAACCUAACUCUCAGAUGAAUCUUCAAAAUUCACCUCAGAAAUAUUCUUAUUAUUCUUCUCAGAGUACUGCAGGAUACACACACACACACACACACAGACACACACACACACACACACACACACACACACACACACACACACACACACACACACACACACACACUCAGAGUCUGUUUUUUAGCACCUGCAAAAACAUGCUAUUUACAUAUUUGACAAGAAUGCAGAGGCUCCUUUUGCCCCUGAAAAAAAUCAAAUUUCAAACACAACUUGACUGGUCAUUUCUCCAAAAGACAACCAUGAAGCUCCAUCCAAACCUGAAGCAGGCAGUUGGUGCAUGUGUACAGUAACCUGAGGGGAGUGAGGUGAGUGCUUCUGAGGAGAACAUGAGCAGUGAAGAUUCACCUUGGAGCUAGAACAGGACGUGCACAUGAUUAUACAGGGGCAGGGGCUCAAGUUUUUUCCAGGCGUUUAUACAAUAAGGAAAUUAAUGUGAAAUUAAAAAACAAAGUAUGACUGUCCUGUGUAGGUGACAGUGAUAUCCAAUAGGCUAGGCACUCACGAGGCUGGCUGUGGCAAGUGUAAGUGAAAGCAACACGCACUGGCAGGAAGAACAGCAAACGCCGAUGAAGGAAAAGGGUCUUUGCAGUGAUGGGCGUUACCAGAGAGGGCGAUGGCCAGAGGACGCGAAUGGGACGGGGAGGCAGCGCGUUGGGGGGGGGGGGGGGGGGUGCGACACGGCUCGGGCCCGCCAGUGCCCCAACGGGGCCCUAGUUUCUUCUUUAGGGCCCGAGCCAGCUGCAGAGCAGCCGGGCGUAGAGCCCUAUUAUUCUUGUAUAGGUUUUUCUUUCUUUAGGGCCCGAGCGUAGCUGCUAAGCAGCUGCGAGAGCCCUCUUGUUCCUGAUGGAUUCUUCUUUCGUUAUUUUUCCUCCGCUUUAAACUGGAAAAUGGCCCACUUCCCACUGGCGAAAACUCAGGAAAUUUGGCAGGACGACCGGGCCUGGUGAAAAAUUUGAUAUUCUGAAGUCGCCCAAACAAAAAAAUGAAAAAUGGCUGCAUAGCGCCCCCUAUGGUGAAAACUCACCUGACGCCUGUACACUUUGUCAAAAUGACACAAAAUUUGACACACAUGUGUAUCUCAAUAAGAUCUACAAAAAAGUCAGUGCGGGCGUAUCUGUCAAAUGUACGGUUAAAGGGUUAUUUCGCAUUUUUUGCCGAUCCGCACACAUUGGAAUUUCGCUAACUCCUCCGAAGGCUUUCGUUCCACCGGCACCACAUUUGCUCAGGCCAAUCUACACCCCAUGGCCAUUAAAAGUUGUACAAAUCAUGACGCUGCACCCCACGGUUUACGUUCUAGGGGGCGCCAAAGAUAACCCAAAAUCCACAUUCUUAAAAGUCUUAUAACUUUUUAUUUUUGUCCUCACUGGCCUCCAAGUUUUCUAGGAUGAUGCAAUGUCCAGCCAUCAACACAUUUGUGAAGGAAUUUUUACUCCCCAAAAGAGCGCCCCCCCAUGGCAGGAGAAAAAAGUCCUUUUUUCUUGUCCCCUAACAUGAAAAUACACAUUGUUGAGUGUCACGCCUAAACGCUUUGUCAUAUUGACAAAACAUUUGACAAUCACGUGUAUCUCAAUAAGAUCUACAAAAAAGUCAUAGAGCGCGUAUCUGUAUAAUGUACGGUUAAAGGGCUAUUUUGCAUUUUUUGCCGAUCCGCACACAUUGGAAUUUCGCUAACUCCUCCGAAGGCUUUCGUUCCACCGGCACCAAAUUUGCUCAGGCCAAUCUACACCCCAUGGCCAUUAAAAGUUGUACAAAUCAUGACGCUGCAACCCACAGUGAAGGUUCUAGGGGGCGCCAAAGAUAACCCAAAAAUCCACAUUCUUAAAAGUCUUAUAACUUUUUAUUUUUGUCCUCACUGGCCUCCAAGUUUUCUAGGAUAAUGCAAUGUCCAGCCAUCAACACAUUUGUGAAGGAAAUUUUACUCCCCAAAAGAGCGCCCCCCAUGGCAGGAGAAAAAAGUCUAUUUUUUCUUGUCCCCUAAGGUGAAAAUACACAUUGUUUAGUGUCACGCCUGUACGCUUUGGCAAAAUGACACAAAUAUUAACACACACAUGUAUCUCAAUAAGAUCUACGAAAAAGUCAAUGCGCGCAUAUCUGUCAAAUGUACGGUUAAAGGGUUAUUCCGCAUUUUUUGCCGAUCCGCACACAUUGGAAUGUGGCUAACUCCUCCUAAGGCUUUCGUUCCACUGGCACCACAUUUGCUCAGGCCAAUCUACACCCCAUGGCCAUUAAAAGUUAUUCAAAUCAUGACGCUGCACCCCACGGUUUAGGGUCUAGGGGGCGCCAAAGAUAACCCUAAAAUCCACAUAUUUAAAAGUCUUAUAACUUCUUAUUUUUGUCCUCACUGGCCUCCAGGUUUUCUAGGAUGAUGCAAUGUCCAGCCAUCAACACAUUUGUGAAGGAAUUUUUACUCCCCAAAAGAGCGCCCCCCCAUGGCAGGAGAAAAAAGUCCAUUUUUUCUUGUCCCCUAAGGUGAAAAUACAUAUUGUUGAGAUUCACGCCUAUACGCUUUGUCAUAUUGACACAAAAUUUGACAUUCACGUGUAUCUCAAUAAGAUCUACGAAAAAGUCAAUGGGCGUGUAUCUGUCUAAUGUACGGUUAAAGGGCUAUUUUGCAUUUUUUGCCGAUUCGCACACAUUGGAAUGUGGCUAACUCCUCCUAAGGCUUUCGUCCCACUGACACCAAAUUUGCUCAGGCCAAUCUACACCCCAUGGCCAUUCAAAGUUGUAAAAAUCAUGACGCUGCACCCCACGGCUCACGUUCUAGGGGGCGCCAAAGAUGACCCAAAUAUCCACAUUCUUAAAAGAAUCCACAUCCCCCCCCAUCCCCCAUCCCCCAUGGCAGGAGAAACAGUCAAGUUUUUCCUGCCCAUCACUCAAUGGCUCAAUCGCAUCGCUCUCCCGGCAACACCGUAACAAGGAGCAACUUGCCGUUUGGAUAUAUCCUAGCUGUGUUUGUGGCCUCACUCAUGGUCCAGACUUUUUUCAAAUAGGACAUGUAGUUUGUCUGCAGCGAGUGUUUUGGUAGAAACUGCGCCUCCCAUUCAUUAUAAUGGGAAAUGACCACAGACAAGUGCGCACACCAUCUUUGGACCUUGAGUGUGACGCGAUCGGGAGGGGGAGGCGGUCGCACUGGGGGCGGCGCAACGCGGCUCGGGCCCGCCAGUGCCCCAACGGGGCCCUAGUCUUUCUUUCUUUCUUUCUUUCUUCUUAUUUUUCCUCCCCUUUGAAGGGGAAAAUGGCCCACUUCCCACUGGCGAAAACUCAGGAAAUUUGGCAGGACGACCGGGCCCGGUGAAAAAUUCGAUAUUCUGAAGUCGCCCAAACAAUAAAAUGCAAAAUGGCUCCAUAGCGCCCCCUAAGGCGAAAAUUCACACUAUUGACUGUCACGCCUGUACGCUUUGUCAUUUUGACACAAAAAUUGACACACACGUGUAUCUCAAUACGGUCUACGAAAAAGUCAGCGCGGGCGCAUCUGUGAAAUGUACGGUUAGAGGGUUAUUUCGCAUUUUUUGCCGAUCUGCACACAUUGGAAUUUCGCUAACUCCUCCGAAGGCUUUCGUUCCACCGGCACCACAUUUGCUCAGGCCAAUCUACACCCCAUGGCCAUUAAAAGUUGUACAAAUCAUGACGCUGCACCCCACGGUUUACGUUCUAGGGGGCGCCAAAGAUAACCCAAAAAUCCACAGUCUUAAAAGUCUUAUAACUUUUUAUUUUUGUCCUCACUGGCCUCCAAGUUCUCUAGGAUGAUGCAAUGUCCAGCCAUCAACACAUUUGUGAAGGAAUUUUUACUCCCGAAUAGGGCGCCCCCCCAUGGCAGGAGAAAAAAGUCCAUUUUUUCUUGUCCCCUAAGGUGAAAAAACACAUUGUUGACUGUCACGCCUAUACGCUUUGUCAAAAUGAUACAAAAUUUGACACACACGUGUAUCUCAAUAAGAUCUACGAAAAAGUCAAUGUGCACGUAUCUGUAAAAUGUACGGUUAAAGGGUUAUUUCGCAUUUUUUCCCGAUCCGCACACAUUGGAAUUUCGCUAACUCCUCCGAAGGCUUUAGUUCCACCGCCACCAAAUUUGCUCAGGCCAAUCUACACCCCAUGGCCAUUAAAAGUUGUAAAAAUCAUGACGCUGCACUCCACGGUUUACGUUCUAGGGGGCGCCAAAGAUAACCCAAAAAUCCACAUUCUUAAUAGUCUUAUAACUUUUUAUUUUUGUCCUCACUGGCCUCCAAGUUUUCUAGGAUGAUGCAAUGUCCAGCCAUCAACACAUUUGUAAAGGAAUUUUUACUCCCGAAAAGGGCGCCCCCCCAUGGCAGGAGAAAAAAGUCCAUUUUUUCUUGUCCCCUAAGGUGAAAAAACACAUUGUUGACUGUCACGCCUAUACGCUUUGUCAAAAUGACACAAAAUUUGACACACACGUGUAUCUCAAUAAGAUCUACGAAAAAGUCAAUGGGCACGUAUCUGUAAAAUGUACGGUUAAAGGGCUAUUUCGCAUUUUUUGCCGAUUCGCACACAUUGGAAUGUGGCUAACUCCUCCUAAGGCUUUCUUCCCACCGACACCAAAUUUGCUCAAGCCAAUCUACAUCCCAUGGCCAUUCAAAGUUGUAAAAAUCAUGCCGCUGCACCCCAUGGUUUACGUUCUAGGGGGCGCCAAAGAUGACCCAAAUAUCCACAUUCUUAAAAGAAUCCACAUCCCCCCCCCCCCCCCCACCCCCCCCCCCAAGGCACAGAGAAAAGUCAGUUAACCCUGCCCAUCGCUCAAUGGCUCAAUCGCAUCGCUCUCCCGGCAACACCGUAAGGAGGAGCAACUUGCCAUUUGGAUAUAUCCUAGCUGUGUUUGUGCCCUCACUCAUGGUCCAGACUUUUUUCAAAUAGGACAUGUAGUUUGUCUGCAGCGACCGUUUUGGUAGAAACUGCGCCUCCCAUUCAUUAUAAUGGGAAAUGACCACAGACAAGUGCGCACACCAUUUUUGGACCUUGAGUGUAAUGCAAUCGGGAGGGGGAGGCGGUCGCGCUGGGGGCGGCGCGACGCGGCUCGGGCCCGACAGUGCCCCACCGGGGCCCUAGUCUUCUUAUUA
Non-coding RNA from Xyrichtys novacula (pearly razorfish), 34993 nucleotides. NCBI's taxonomy places the organism in Eukaryota, Metazoa, Chordata, Actinopteri, Labriformes, Labridae. The record is from the annotation of a GenBank genome assembly.